Molecule: ribosomal RNA, 305 nt
Filed under: uncultured bacterium
Lineage: Bacteria
Description: bacterial SSU rRNA
Rfam family: Bacterial small subunit ribosomal RNA
Source: RNAcentral
UAUUACCUACGGGGCGCAGCAGUCGGGAAUAUUGCGCAAUGGAGGAAACUCUGACGCAGUGACGCCGCGUAUAGGAAGAAGGUUUUCGGAUUGUAAACUAUUGUCGUGAGGGAAGAAAUUGACAGUACCUCAGGAGGAAGCUCCGGCUAACUAUGUGCCAGCAGCCGCGGUAAUACGUAGGGAGCGAGCGUUGUCCGGAAUUACUGGGUGUAAAGGGAGCGUAGGCGGGCGAGAAAGUUGAAUGUUAAAUCUACCGGCUUAACUGGUAGCUGCGUUCAAAACUUCUUGUCUUGAGUGAAGUAGAG